CAAUAAAAUAAUUUAUUUCAAUAUAAAACAGUUCAGAUGCUACAUUUUUGUAGGUAUUUACUGCUUCUAACAAACAAUUUUCUUACAAAAGGAAUGUAGAGUUAAAAAAUCACUGAGCGGAAUGUAAAAUUGUCUAAUUGAGUUGACUUUCAGAUGAAAUUAAAAUGGAAUUUUUGGUAUACCUAGUGCGCGUAAAGCAAGAAGUCCAAUCAGAACACGAGGCGUAUGACUGCGCAUUACGCAAAAACAGAUCUCAGCCGGGUUUAUAUAUUUAGUCCUCAGUCUAUGAUCUGCGCAAACCGCUAUGUUACAACUUCAGGUUAGACUACUUGCUUUGCGUCCACUUUAAUAAUAAUAAUUGGCGCUGGUUGUACGCAAAACCUAAAUAGUUAGAGACAGUAAAAUCAUACUGUCCUUUUUGCAGGCAACCUUGCAACUUUGUGACAAAAAAACAGUAGGUACAACCUAUUCUCAUCCUUACAAUUUAGUUUUGUGUGCUACCGAGUACCAAUUAUUAUCGAAUUAGUACAGUUUAAAUACCUAGAUACCUAACAUUGUACAGACAAAUCAAGCUAAUUAGAUUUAUUUAAUCUAUAGAGAAUACUGCACAUUUAAAAACCCAUUUAUUUAUUAUGGCAAAGUGAUUACAGGGAAUAAUCGAGUAAAGCUUUCUUUCCCUAUACCUAUAUGUAUUAUACUAAUUAAUUAAUUACAUACUACAAAGUGUAAAAAGUCUAUUUAUUUACAAAAUAGGUGGACUCUUCGUUAAAUCGCUCAAAAUACACACAACACUCUUGACGGUCACGGACAGUAUUUACAUUGCGUCAUAUUCGUCCUCAAAAGUAUAAAACGUGCGUAACUUUAUUUCGCAUUUACAUUGUAAAUAGAAUAAUGUCAUGGAAUUCCAAUAAGCCGAUCAUGGGUUUCGCCGAUAAGCUUAUUGUUUGAUCCGCGAAAUCCAUAUCUGACCCAUCUUUAAUAUGUAAUUCAUUGACAAUGUUAAAUUCCAAUGUUACCCACAUUUAUCUACUGUAGCAAUAUAACCGUUACCUAUAUUUUAAAUUUUUUCUAUACUUUUUACUACAUGCUUCUCGAAACUGUGCCUAAUAAUAUAAAAGCCGAUGAACUAUUUAUUCAAAUUGUUUUAUAGGUUUGUACAAAACAACUUAGCUACCGUUUGUAAUGACGAAAUAGCAAUGUUUUCUAUUUCAUAGGUUUUUUUGUUGUUAAAAUCAUUUAAGUAAUUGUGUUGAAAGCAAUUUAAAAUAAAUGUGACAUAGGUAGUUUAUUUGAAAAUUUGUCGGAUUUGAUUUUUAUGCUUAAAAUAAUAUAAGUUAGUAUUAGGUAAGUACCUAAUUAUACCUACUUCAAUAUGUAAUGAUCAAAAAUUUAGAUCAAUAUAAAACCUUUGAAAAAUCAUUCAUCGACUCUCAGCCUACUAAACUUUAAAUGUUAACUAGUAAUUAUUGUAGUUUUAAAUAAGUUUUGGUAUCUUAUAAAAAUAUUUCACAUCUUGUAAUCCUACAGCUAGGGUAGGUACAUAAUAAAGAUCUACGUAAUCUUAAUAACUUACUUAUGUACAUUUAUCUACUGACUUUGGAUCUAACUCUAACAAAAUCUAACAAGCCAAAGAUUUAUAAUGAAGCACAAUUUUAAAAACAUUUUUUUCUACGACAUUGGUGGCAAUUUUCUGUUACACAAAAUUAUUAUUGCCAUCCCGUUCCUCACAAAUUUUUAAAGUAAAACUUAAGACGCGAUAUUUGAGAGUAAUUCAGAUCUUUGAUAAUGGGCGCCAAACAGAACGGUUUAUUUUGAGGCCGCCAUCUUUUAGCAGUGUUAUAUAAUUAAUUUUUAUUUUUAAUAUAGUAGGUAGGUACCUACCUACCUAAUUAUCAAGUAGUUAGUGCCAUAGAUUAAAAGCUCUAUUUUUAACUUAGGUAUGAACUAAGUAUAGCUAGCUCAUUUUCAUCUCACACGACUUAAUUAUUUAUUUUUAAUUUAAUCGUAGUUAGUUAGGUAGGUAAGGAACAUAACAUUAUUUGAAACAGCGUCAAAAAGUUUUACUUCAACCACGCGUUUAAGGUUUAAAACGCGUUAAUUAAGUUUUUGUGUACAAGAAUAAUUGAAAUAUUAUACUUAAAUACCUACAGAACUUUUUUGAACUCGAUUAAAAAUAGUUUUCCAUAUUUACAAAUAAUAAAGUCUUAAUAAUAGAUUAAAUACUACAUUUACAUCAUAUUAAAAUAUAUUGAACACCCGUUUAUUUAAAAUCCUACAAAAUUAACAGAUUUUCUCUAUUGUUUUUAUCUAAAAACAAUUUACAAAGUUGAGAUCGAAUUUCAUUGUCAUAGAAAUUUUGAGCAUUUGAGUGCAAUAUGGUGGAUUUAUAAUAAUAUUGAAUCUUAAAACUACCAUUUUUUUUUUAUAAUGGCAACUAUUCUAUUUAAAGCAUAGACAAUGUAUGCUUGAUAAUAAUUAUUUAGCGGUAAAGUAUUUGAAAUAACCGCUAAAUAAUUAACCAAGAUGCAAACUUAGCGAAGAGUAAAAAGAUCGAAGAAAAAGGUUACUGACAAGAUAUCACAAAAAACGCAAAUAAUCCUGUAUUUUUAAAAGCGCAAUGUAUAGAUAAUAAAUCAUCUGCCUAACGCUGGAGUUCAACGAACGUGGCGUAGAUAGCAGCCGCAGGGUCAAUGCCACGUCGCAGACGGGAACGUAGGUCAAGUGGAAGUUAUCAUCCAUGUUAAGGUAAUAAAGGUAAUAGGCAACACUCUCGUUCUGCGAUCUUUCUUUUCUUCUACAUCUAGGCUGGCAGGUCGAUAUUAUCUAUGGCAGUGAGCACUAAGUUUGUGACAGUCUUUGCAAAUACAGCUAAAUAGUUAUUAUUAACAUAAAUGAGUAUUGA
Molecule: long non-coding RNA, 2902 nt
Organism: Maniola jurtina (meadow brown)
Lineage: Eukaryota; Metazoa; Arthropoda; Insecta; Lepidoptera; Nymphalidae
Exons: 2
Source: RefSeq, a predicted model, not a curated record